RNAcentral lists this ribosomal RNA (301 nucleotides) under uncultured bacterium. RNAcentral's name for it is "partial 16S ribosomal RNA". It matches the Rfam family "Bacterial small subunit ribosomal RNA", at positions 509 to 807 of the family's 1533-position model. The record is from RNAcentral.
CAGUCGCCGCGGUAAUACGAAGGGGGCUAGCGUUGUUCGGAAUUACUGGGCGUAAAGCGCACGUAGGCGGAUAUUUAAGUCAGGGGUGAAAUCCCAGAGCUCAACUCUGGAACUGCCUUUGAUACUGGGUAUCUUGAGUAUGGAAGGGGUGAGUGGAAUUCCGAGUGUAGAGGUGAAAUUCGUAGAUAUUCGGAGGAACACCAGUGGCGAAGGCGGCUCACUGGUCCAUUACUGACGCUGAGGUGCGAAAGCGUGGGGAGCAAACAGGAUUAGAUACCCGAGUAGUCCCUGUCUCUUAUAC